UCCGGUUUGUCACCGGCAGUCUCAUUAGAGUGCUCUUUCGUAGCAACUAGGGACAAGGGUUGCGCUCGUUGCGGGACUUAACCCAACAUCUCACGACACGAGCUGACGACAGCCAUGCAGCACCUGUGUUCCGGUUCCCUUUCAGGCACACCCACCUUUCAGCAGGCUUCCAGACAUGUCAAGGGUAGGUAAGGUUGUUCGCGUUGCAUCGAAUUAAUCCACAUCAUCCACCGCUUGUGCGGGUCCCCGUCAAUUCCUUUGAGUUUUAACCUUGCGGCCGUACUCCCCAGGCGGCUCACUUCACGCGUUAGCUUCGGUACCAAGGAAUCGCUUCCCCGACAACCAGUUGACAUAGUUUAGGGCGUGGACUAC
This 372-nucleotide unclassified non-coding RNA is filed under the name uncultured Gammaproteobacteria bacterium. RNAcentral describes it as "contains 16S-23S intergenic spacer region". Lineage: Bacteria; Pseudomonadati; Pseudomonadota; Gammaproteobacteria. The record is from RNAcentral.